RNAcentral lists this transfer RNA (69 nucleotides) under Scinax constrictus. RNAcentral describes it as "tRNA-Val". It matches the Rfam family "tRNA". Rfam says of the family: Transfer RNA (tRNA) molecules are approximately 80 nucleotides in length. Their secondary structure includes four short double-helical elements and three loops (D, anti-codon, and T loops). Further hydrogen bonds mediate the characteristic L-shaped molecular structure. tRNAs have two regions of fundamental functional importance: the anti-codon, which is responsible for specific mRNA codon recognition, and the 3' end, to which the tRNAs corresponding amino acid is attached (by aminoacyl-tRNA synthetases). tRNAs cope with the degeneracy of the genetic code in two manners: having more than one tRNA (with a specific anti-codon) for a particular amino acid; and 'wobble' base-pairing, i.e. permitting non-standard base-pairing at the 3rd anti-codon position. Lineage: Eukaryota; Metazoa; Chordata; Amphibia; Anura; Hylidae. The record is from RNAcentral.
CAAAACGUAGCUUAACUAAAGCAUCCCGCUUACACCGGGGAUAUAUCUGUUAGACCCAGAUCAUUUUGA